RNAcentral lists this ribosomal RNA (467 nucleotides) under uncultured bacterium. Its description in RNAcentral is "partial 16S ribosomal RNA". It matches the Rfam family "Bacterial small subunit ribosomal RNA", at positions 28 to 507 of the family's 1533-position model. The record is from RNAcentral.
GAUGAACGCUGACAGAAUGCUUAACACAUGCGAGUCAACUUGAAUUUGGGUUUUUACCUUAGGUUUGGGUGGCGGACGGGUGAGUAACGCGUAAAGAACUUGCCUCACAGCUAGGGACAACAUUUGGAAACGAAUGCUAAUACCUAAUAUUAUGAUAAUAGGGCAUCCUAUAAUUAUGAAAGCUAUAAGCGCUGUGAGAGAGCUUUGCGUCCCAUUAGCUAGUUGGAGAGGUAACGGCUCACCAAGGCGAUGAUGGGUAGCCGGCCUGAGAGGGUGAUCGGCCACAAGGGGACUGAGACACGGCCCUUACUCCUACGGGAGGCAGCAGUGGGGAAUAUUGGACAAUGGACCAAGAGUCUGAUCCAGCAAUUCUGUGUGCACGAUGAAGUUUUUCGGAAUGUAAAGUGCUUUCAGUUGGGAAGAAAGAAAUGACGGUACCAACAGAAGAAGUGACGGCUAAAUACGUG